AUAAGGCUGUGCAAUACCAGGAACUGGGAUUCUAGGUAAAAACUUCUAGAAGGAAGCCUCGGUGCCAGAAUCCGCAAACACACAGAGCACUCAGUGGUGAGCAGCACCAGUGAUCCCAUCAGAAGCCUGCUUUUGUCCUUUAAGGUUGCCCCAGACACCAAGGCAUCAAAAGCCAGGGGAUCCAGAGAAAACACAGACAGCCAAGAGAGAAACUGCGGGAAAAAGCCAAAAGGUUGAGAGCCACACCAUCUAGAAGCUUCCUGCCUGUGGUGCGGCACAGAAACAAGGAGAGUCAGCAAUUACCAGCCAGCCAAGGUCCUGGAAGCUGACGUAGAGCUCGUGCCGACGGCAGACCUGCCGGCCGUGGGAGCCGCGGACGUCAUCUGCAGGGACAGAAGGGGCAAGGUCUUUUCUGGGGUUCCUGCUGUGUGCAGCUACUAUGGGGUACCAGGGUGGGGGAUGCCCUGAUGAGCACAUUUGUCAAAUAAAUGAAUGACAGGAA
RNAcentral lists this long non-coding RNA (502 nucleotides) under Homo sapiens (human). Its description in RNAcentral is "non-protein coding lnc-PABPC4-1:20". Lineage: Eukaryota; Metazoa; Chordata; Mammalia; Primates; Hominidae. The record is from RNAcentral.